RNAcentral lists this transfer RNA (73 nucleotides) under Ailuropoda melanoleuca (giant panda). It matches the Rfam family "tRNA". Rfam says of the family: Transfer RNA (tRNA) molecules are approximately 80 nucleotides in length. The record is from Rfam by way of RNAcentral. Lineage: Eukaryota; Metazoa; Chordata; Mammalia; Carnivora; Ursidae.
ACCCAGUUGGCUCAGUUGGGAGAGCAUGGGACUCUUGACCUUAGGGUCAUGAGUUCAAGCCCCACACUGGGUA